CCCGCGUUACAUGCCACCGGGGCAUCCCGGAGGCAGGAAAGGCUUCGGCCGGACAGGGAUGGGCAUGCGGCGCAUUAGGCAGUAGGCGGGGUAACGGCCCACCUAACCGACGAUGCGUAGGGGUUCUGAGAGGAAGGUCCCCCACACUGGUACUGAGACACGGACCAGACUCCUACGGGAGGCAGCAGUGAGGAAUAUUGGUCAAUGGUCGGGAGACUGAACCAGCCAAGCCGCGUGAGGGAUGAAGGUACAGAGUAUCGUAAACCUCUUUUGUCAGGGAACAAAGGCGGGGACGUGUCCCCGGAUGAGUGUACCUGAAGAAAAAGCAUCGGCUAACUCCGUGCCAGCAGCCGCGGUAAUACGGAGGAUGCGAGCGUUAUCCGGAUUUAUUGGGUUUAAAGGGUGCGCAGGCGGUCUGUUAAGUCAGCGGUCAAAGCCCGGGGCUCAACCCCGGCCCGCCGUUGAAACUGGCAGUCUCGAGUUGGAGAGAAGUAUGCGGAAUGCGCGGUGUAGCGGUGAAAUGCAUAGAUAUCGCGCAGAACUCCGAUUGCGAAGGCAGCAUGCCGGCUCCACACUGACGCUGAGGCACGAAAGCGUGGGUAUCGAACAGGAUUAGAUACCCUGGUAGUCCACGCAGUAAACGAU
RNAcentral lists this ribosomal RNA (645 nucleotides) under uncultured bacterium. Its description in RNAcentral is "bacterial SSU rRNA". It matches the Rfam family "Bacterial small subunit ribosomal RNA", at positions 167 to 810 of the family's 1533-position model. The record is from RNAcentral.